This 86-nucleotide transfer RNA is filed under the name Terfezia boudieri ATCC MYA-4762. It matches the Rfam family "tRNA". From Rfam's summary of the family: Transfer RNA (tRNA) molecules are approximately 80 nucleotides in length. Their secondary structure includes four short double-helical elements and three loops (D, anti-codon, and T loops). Lineage: Eukaryota; Fungi; Ascomycota; Pezizomycetes; Pezizales; Pezizaceae. The record is from Rfam by way of RNAcentral.
GGUUGUGUGGUGUAAUGGUAGCACGUAUCGUUGUGGAUUGGCAUAAACGGCCCGAUACAAUCGCGGUUCGAUUCCGUGCACAGCCA